Molecule: transfer RNA, 91 nt
Filed under: Flavobacteriales bacterium
Lineage: Bacteria; Pseudomonadati; Bacteroidota; Flavobacteriia; Flavobacteriales
Description: tRNA-Ser
Rfam family: tRNA
About the family: Transfer RNA (tRNA) molecules are approximately 80 nucleotides in length.
Source: RNAcentral
GGAGAGGUGGCCGAGUGGCUUAAGGCGCACGCUUGGAAAGCGUGUAUACUCCAAAAGGGUAUCCGGGGUUCGAAUCCCCGUCUCUCCGCAA